GAUGAACGCUGGCGGCGUGCCUAAUACAUGCAAGUCGAGCGAACAGACGAGGAGCUUGCUCCUCUGACGUUAGCGGCGGACGGGUGAGUAACACGUGGAUAACCUACCUAUAAGACUGGGAUAACUUCGGGAAACCGGAGCUAAUACCGGAUAAUAUAUUGAACCGCAUGGUUCAAUAGUGAAAGACGGUUUUGCUGUCUUAUAGAUGGAUCCGCGCCGCAUUAGCUAGUUGGUAAGGUAACGGCUUACCAAGGCAACGAUGCGUAGCCGACCUGAGAGGGUGAUCGGCCACACUGGAACUGAGACACGGUCCAGACUCCUACGGGAGGCAGCAGUAGGGAAUCUUCCGCAAUGGGCGAAAGCCUGACGGAGCAACGCCGCGUGAGUGAUGAAGGUCUUCGGAUCGUAAAACUCUGUUAUUAGGGAAGAACAAAUGUGUAAGUAACUAUGCACGUCUUGACGGUACCUAAUCAGAAAGCCACGGCUAACUACGUG
RNAcentral lists this ribosomal RNA (495 nucleotides) under uncultured bacterium. RNAcentral's name for it is "partial 16S ribosomal RNA". It matches the Rfam family "Bacterial small subunit ribosomal RNA", at positions 28 to 507 of the family's 1533-position model. The record is from RNAcentral.